This 906-nucleotide ribosomal RNA is filed under the name Paraburkholderia sp. Its description in RNAcentral is "bacterial SSU rRNA". It matches the Rfam family "Bacterial small subunit ribosomal RNA", at positions 88 to 990 of the family's 1533-position model. The record is from RNAcentral. Lineage: Bacteria; Pseudomonadati; Pseudomonadota; Betaproteobacteria; Burkholderiales; Burkholderiaceae.
GUGGCGAGUGGCGACGGGUGAGUAAUACAUCGGAACGUGUCCUGUAGUGGGGGAUAGCCCGGCGAAAGCCGGAUUAAUACCGCAUACGAUCUGCGGAUGAAAGCGGGGGAUCCUUCGGGACCUCGCGCUGCAGGGGCGGCCGAUGGCAGAUUAGCUAGUUGGUGGGGUAAAGGCCUACCAAGGCGACGAUCUGUAGCUGGUCUGAGAGGACGACCAGCCACACUGGGACUGAGACACGGCCCAGACUCCUACGGGAGGCAGCAGUGGGGAAUUUUGGACAAUGGGCGCAAGCCUGAUCCAGCAAUGCCGCGUGUGUGAAGAAGGCCUUCGGGUUGUAAAGCACUUUUGUCCGGAAAGAAAACCUCUUGGUUAAUACCUGAGGGGGAUGACGGUACCGGAAGAAUAAGCACCGGCUAACUACGUGCCAGCAGCCGCGGUAAUACGUAGGGUGCAAGCGUUAAUCGGAAUUACUGGGCGUAAAGCGUGCGCAGGCGGUUCGCUAAGACAGAUGUGAAAUCCCCGGGCUUAACCUGGGAACUGCAUUUGUGACUGGCGGGCUAGAGUAUGGCAGAGGGGGGUAGAAUUCCACGUGUAGCAGUGAAAUGCGUAGAGAUGUGGAGGAAUACCGAUGGCGAAGGCAGCCCCCUGGGCCAAUACUGACGCUCAUGCACGAAAGCGUGGGGAGCAAACAGGAUUAGAUACCCUGGUAGUCCACGCCCUAAACGAUGUCAACUAGUUGUCGGGUCUUCAUUGACUUGGUAACGUAGCUAACGCGUGAAGUUGACCGCCUGGGGAGUACGGUCGCAAGAUUAAAACUCAAGGAAUUGACGGGGGACCCGCACAAGCGGUGGGAUGAUGUGGAUUAAUUCGAUGCACGCGAAAAACCUUACCUACCCUUGACAUUGU